Molecule: ribosomal RNA, 497 nt
Filed under: uncultured bacterium
Lineage: Bacteria
Description: partial 16S ribosomal RNA
Rfam family: Bacterial small subunit ribosomal RNA
Source: RNAcentral
GAUGAACGCUGGCGGCGUGCCUAAUACAUGCAAGUCGAGCGAACGGACGAGAAGCUUGCUUCUCUGAUGUUAGCGGCGGACGGGUGAGUAACACGUGGAUAACCUACCUAUAAGACUGGGAUAACUUCGGGAAACCGGAGCUAAUACCGGAUAAUAUUUUGAACCGCAUGGUUCAAAAGUGAAAGACGGUCUUGCUGUCACUUAUAGAUGGAUCCGCGCUGCAUUAGCUAGUUGGUAAGGUAACGGCUUACCAAGGCAACGAUGCAUAGCCGACCUGAGAGGGUGAUCGGCCACACUGGAACUGAGACACGGUCCAGACUCCUACGGGAGGCAGCAGUAGGGAAUCUUCCGCAAAGGGCGAAAGCCUGACGGAGCAACGCCGCGUGAGUGACGAAGGUCUUCGGAUCGUAAAACUCUGUUAUUAGGGAAGAACAUAUGUGUAAGUAACUGUGCACAUCUUGACGGUACCUAAUCAGAAAGCCACGGCUAACUACGUG